GGUCGAGUCGGCCUGCGCGGAAGAUGUAACGGGGCUAAACUAUGCACCGAAGCUGCGGCAGCGACACUAUGUGUUGUUGGGUAGGGGAGCGUUCUGUAAGCCUGUGAAGGUGUGUCGUGAGGCAUGCUGGAGGUAUCAGAAGUGCGAAUGCUGACAUAAGUAACGAUAAAGCGGGUGAAAAGCCCGCUCGCCGGAAGACCAAGGGUUCCUGUCCAACGUUAAUCGGGGCAGGGUGAGUCGACCCCUAAGGCGAGGCCGAAAGGCGUAGUCGAUGGGAAACGGGUUAAUAUUCCCGUACUUGGUGUUACUGCGAAGGGGGGACGGAGAAGGCUAUGUUGGCCGGGCGACGGUUGUCCCGGUUUAAGCGUGUAGGUGUGUGUUCCAGGUAAAUCCGGUUCACUUUAACACUGAGGCGUGACGACGAGGCACUACGGUGCUGAAGCAACAAAUGCCCUGCUUCCAGGAAAAGCCUCUAAGCAUCAGGUAACAUCAAAUCGUACCCCAAACCGACACAGGUGGUCAGGUAGAGAAUACCAAGGCGCUUGAGAGAACUCGGGUGAAGGAACUAGGCAAAAUGGUGCCGUAACUUCGGGAGAAGGCACGCUGACACGUAGGUGAAGUGAUUUACUCAUGGAGCUGAAGUCAGUCGAAGAUACCAGCUGGCUGCAACUGUUUAUUAAAAACACAGCACUGUGCAAACACGAAAGUGGACGUAUACGGUGUGACGCCUGCCCGGUGCCGGAAGGUUAAUUGAUGGGGUCAGCGCAAGCGAAGCUCCUGAUCGAAGCCCCGGUAAACGGCGGCCGUAACUAUAACGGUCCUAAGGUAGCGAAAUUCCUUGUCGGGUAAGUUCCGACCUGCACGAAUGGCGUAAUGAUGGCCAGGCUGUCUCCACCCGAGACUCAGUGAAAUUGAACUCGCUGUGAAGAUGCAGUGUACCCGCGGCAAGACGGAAAGACCCCGUGAACCUUUACUAUAGCUUGACACUGAACAUUGAGCCUUGAUGUGUAG
RNAcentral lists this ribosomal RNA (1011 nucleotides) under Salmonella enterica. RNAcentral describes it as "partial 23S ribosomal RNA". It matches the Rfam family "Bacterial large subunit ribosomal RNA", at positions 1147 to 2141 of the family's 2925-position model. Lineage: Bacteria; Pseudomonadati; Pseudomonadota; Gammaproteobacteria; Enterobacterales; Enterobacteriaceae. The record is from RNAcentral.